This 95-nucleotide microRNA precursor is filed under the name Nicotiana sylvestris (wood tobacco). RNAcentral's name for it is "MIR6152 microRNA precursor family". It matches the Rfam family "MIR6152 microRNA precursor family". Lineage: Eukaryota; Viridiplantae; Streptophyta; Magnoliopsida; Solanales; Solanaceae. The record is from Rfam by way of RNAcentral.
UGGACAGAUUAUUGUAUUCGGCUGUAUUCACGGCGUGAAACAGGGAUUACAUUGUUUUUAAACGGAAAGUGAAUUAAUUAACAUAACAGACUCCU